Molecule: ribosomal RNA, 253 nt
Filed under: uncultured bacterium
Lineage: Bacteria
Description: partial 16S ribosomal RNA
Rfam family: Bacterial small subunit ribosomal RNA
Source: RNAcentral
UACGCAGGGGACUAGCGUUGUUCGGAAUCACUGGGCGUAAAGCGCACGUAGGCGGAUAUGUCAGUCAGGGGUGAAAUCCCGGGGCUCAACCUCGGAACUGCCUUUGAUACAGCAUAUCUUGAGUCCGAUAGAGGUGGGUGGAAUUCCUAGUGUAGAGGUGAAAUUCGUAGAUAUUAGGAAGAACACCGGUGGCGAAGGCGGCCCACUGGAUCGGUACUGACGCUGAGGUGCGAAAGCGUGGGGAGCAAACAGG